RNAcentral lists this unclassified non-coding RNA (285 nucleotides) under Venturiaceae sp. RNAcentral's name for it is "partial contains 5.8S ribosomal RNA, internal transcribed spacer 2, and large subunit ribosomal RNA". The stretch from base 1 to 71 matches the Rfam family "5.8S ribosomal RNA", at positions 84 to 154 of the family's 154-position model. Lineage: Eukaryota; Fungi; Ascomycota; Dothideomycetes; Venturiales; Venturiaceae. The record is from RNAcentral.
GUGAAUCAUCGAAUCUUUGAACGCAUAUUGCACCCUCUGGUAUUCCGGGGGGUAUACCUGUUCGAGCGCCAUUUAAAACCCUCAAGCAUAGCUUGGUGUUGGGCAGGGUCUUAGAGGACCCGCCCGUAACUCGUAGGCGGUUACCGCCUGUGCCCUUAGCGUAGCAAGCUCACGCAUUCGCUUUGGGAACGGCGUGUGACUAUUGCCAAAUCAACCCCUUCAAAGGUUUGGCCUCGGAUCAGGUAGGGAUACCCGCUGAACUUAAGCAUAUCAAUAAGCGGAGGA